CAAGACUCGAGAGGCGCUGCCCUCCGCUCCUGCAGAUGUUAACCAAUUGGGUGGGCGUGAGGGUAACAAACUAUAUCUUCCUCGAUUAUACCAACAAUACAGAGAUAAUCCAGUCGACGAAAUAGUGGUUAUAAGAAUACGGCCACAGGAGCUACCUGUGAAAUUACCACCCAAGUAUGUGGAUCCCGCUGAAGCCGAGGGAUGUAUAAUGGAGUUAGAGAAGGGAAUAAAGUCGAGAAAAAUGGAUAAGCACUGAACGUGAAUUCUUUACUCAUCAGAUACGCAGCGACGCCAUGAUGGGUGUGGAUCUCCAAUGGAUGACACAUCACGAGGGUGAAAGCGGCUCUACCCCAGCCACUGGUGGGGAUCCUGCACAAACUGCAACCAGGUGACUGGGUGGUGGUGAAAGACCUGAGACGAAAGCAUUGGAACCAGCAGAGGUGGACUGGACCAUACCAGGUGAUGCUGAUUACCCCCACUGCUGUUCGCGUAGCUGAGAGGUCUACUUGGAUCCACGCAUUAUUGGUCAUUUGUCAUCAACAAAAGUUUUACGGGGGGGAUUUGAUUGUUCACAUUGGUGUAGUAGAAUAAUCUUAGAACCUAGAUCCCGUGUACCAGAACCUAUUCAAGUCCAACCCCGGCGAACCCCAUUUAGGACCUGUCAUUGUCACAAUCCCAGCAAUAUUUCCAUACUACAAUUGAAUGAAUCCUAUCUGGGAAUGUCAACAUGUGUCAAUUAUAGUGUUUUCCCAAUAGGAUGUAGCUGGAAGAAGGGAACAUGCAGCUCUGGAUACCCCAUUAGACUGAGGGUGGGACACACCAUUAUUGAUGCUGAAACUGACAAUCGUUCUCCUCAUCAAUUUGGCUCGGCAACAUUUACUGAUCAAUAUUGGAUUUGUGGUGAUAAAGCUUAUCUCUACCUACCCACAAAUUGGACAGGGUGCUGUAUUUUUGGUAAACUAAACAUCUCCCUUGUGGUAAUGUAUAAAACAAAUUCCUCUAUUCCAAGCAGGUUAAGACUGAUUAAGAGGGACAUCUCGCAAUACAAUAAUGUCCCUAGUGACUCUCGAUGAUCCUCGAAAUUGGAAAUGUUCUGGCGUGGUUUAAUCCCCUGGUAUGGGGCAUCGGAGAAUGCACAUGAGUUGGAUAGGCUAGGAUAUCAUUUGGAAUCCCUGGUAAAUUUGACCACUGCAGGGUUUUCUAUGAUAAGACCAGAAUUACAAGCCACUCAACUCAUGGCAACACAAAAUAGGGUGGCACUUGACAUGUUGCUAGCACGUGAAGGAGGGGUGUGUCAAAUUAUAGGAGAUCACUGUUGUACAUUUAUACCCCAGGGAGAUGACAAUUUGACUAUUGUAGUGGAACAUUUGAAAGAGCUUAGGGGUGUUCUCGAAAGGGAACACCAGCCUGACAUCAACUGGAAUCCGUUAGGAUGGGUUCAGUCAGUAUUUGGUGCUUGGGCUGCGACCAUUUUCCACUGGUUCAUCUAUGGUCUAAUAUUACUGAUUGCUCUGUUGCUGAUUAUCAUUUGUGUGAAAAAAUAGUUUAAUAAAGUGGUUGAUGUUGUUCUUACUAUGCCCUUGCUUGCAAAUGAAGUAGGUGUAGAUGAGGAAUCUGAGAUUGAUGGACAACAAUCAGGUGAUCACAGUGAAAUAUUCUCACUGGACAGUGUAGAUAGAGAGGGUUCACUGUAUAUGAAUGAUUUCCCUGACCCAUUCCCUAUUCCUGACUAUAUCUCUGAUAGUGGUGAACCCAAUUCUAAGCAUGAGGACUUAGAGGGAUGACUGUCCUAUAGGUUGUAAUGAUGCCUGUGUUUAGACAUGGGUUCUCUUGUAAUUUUGGGAGCAUUUAUAUGUUUUGUUAUUUUCAUUUUUACUCAACAAAUGUAUUAUUCUAUAUGUUUAAACAGGUGCAAGUCUGUAUUAUGGUAUAAACAUUGUAAACUCAGUUUCUGACGGGUGAAUACUUACAUUGAAGGGAUUUGAUUCUUUAUUAUCUUUAAAUUUUGAUUAUGGAUUUUUAAUUGUAUUAUAUACUCUGCAACUACUAUUAGUAAGGUGCCAUGUUACUAUUCUGAUUCUUCAGAAGGGACUGAGUCCCUUGAGAGGGGAAUGUUGGGGAAUAAUCUGAAUUGGUGGGUAACAUAGAUAAGAUGUUUUAUAUUCAUCAUAUGCUUAUGAGUUAUUUCUCAUAAGAAUGUAUUUUGUUGUACUAUAGUGGUGGCCAUUGGCAGUUAUCUGUUCUAUGUCAAGACUAAGUUGCAUGGGCCGCAGAGAGGGGAGAGGUCAAGGGGUCAUCAUGUGUAAACAUAUCUUUUGCUUUUUUGCUCCACUGUGUUUGUGUGCCAGCCACUCCCUACUUUUCCCAUCGGGGAAAGGAGGAUGGCAGUGUCUGGAAUCAUUCUAUGCUCCCUCUUUGUUGACCUAUAGGGUCACUCUCCUCUUCUUGAGUUUGUCCAGGAUUGGUUGUAUUUAGAAUUGGUUCUAUCUAAAUGACAAUUUGAUAUAUAUCAUAGGGUGGGGGUAAUGUCUUGGUACCAUUUUGUACCAAGGACGAGAUAAGAGCUUUGUUUAGGAGAGCAAACUGAACGAUAAUUUAUAGCCAACUCUGUCUGACUAGGGGAUAUUCCUCUCUGAAGUGAAGUCUUUCUUUGUGUAAGUUCCUAAGACCUGUGUUUUGUCAUGUCGUCUAGGAGGGGGUGGAUCUUUGCUAUAAAGGAACCCAUUUGCCAUUAUGUUGGGGACUCUCAACUUUUCAUUAGAGAUACUGAACUGUUGAAAGUCAAAAUGCUAUUGCAAAAGCUUGAUUAUUAUUAAAAGUGAAGAUUAAGCAUAACUCUGACUCGUGUGAUUUGCUCUCUCAUCAAUUGGUAAUUAAGGAAAUUUCCACGACAGAAGCCAUACACAACGGUAAGCAAACAUAAUUGCGUUUUAUUCGAUGGCAAUUUAAAUGCACAGAGAUACCGUGACAAGAUCCUGAGGCCCAUUGUCAUGCCAUUCAUCUGCCGCCAUCACCUCAUGAUGCACGGCCCCAUGUCGCAAGGAUCUGAACGCAAACAUGAAAAUGUCCCAGUUCUUUCAUGGCCUGCAUACUCACCAGACAUGUCACCCAUUGAGUAUGUUUGGGAUGCUCUGGAUCGACAUGUACGACAGCAUGUUCCAUUUCCCACCAAUAUCCAGCAACUUCGCACAGCCAUCGAAGAGGAGUGGGACAAGAUUCAGGCCCCAAUCAACAGCCUGAUCAACUCAAUGUGAAGGAGAUGUGUCGUUCUGCAUGAGGCAAAUGGUGGUCACACCAGAUACUGACUGGUUUUCUGAUUCACAGACCUACCUUUAUUUUUUCUUCAGGUAUCUGUGACCAACAGAUGCAUAUCUGUACUCCUAGUCAUGUGAAAUCCAUAGAUUAGGGCCUAAUGAAUUUAUUCCCUUAUAUGAAUUGUAACUAUAUUUAUAUAGCAAACCUGACAACACAUCACUCCUGACAUACAGAAGCAAGAACCCUUUUCAGAAAUGUAUGUGAAGAAAACAAGAUGAUUUCUCAGUCUGCUCAACUGAGCUAAUGAUAACCACUGCAGCUACAUAGGUUACAGCCAAUGCGCUCUGUCGCUCUUGCCAGGGUAAACUAAGUGGUAAUGUAAUGUAGCCUAUGUAUAGGCCAUUUAUUUGUUUGGAUCAAAUGUGAAUGUGAUCAAAUUUGGUUAAAUUCCACCUAUUGUAUCUCUGUGUUUACAUGUCUAUAUUUCCAAGAUGUAUGAAGAUAUAAUAGAAAUUCAUAUGAUUUAUAUGUUUAAGGUAAUGUUAAGAUAAUGACUAAAAGUAUUCUACCCUGUCACUGUAUAAUGGAGUGAAAUGUAUUUGAAUCAUAAGACUAGAAUUCUUAUGAUUGUGUGUGCAUAGGACAGGUUAAGACUUACCAUUUAGAAGUAUAGGCGAGACAGUGUGUGCCUAAGAAAAUACCGAGAACAAUUCAACUGUUUGACCCGACCUGGCUAGAACUCAGAGAAACUUAUGAUAGGACAGGGAGUACUUCUCAAUGUUUCUCUAAUCUCAGGGGAAUGGAACUGUCGGCUGGGUAGUGAUACACAGUGGUGAGAACUCUGGAGAAGGAUACAACUCACCUGCUGUUCGUGUGUAUGUAUGUGCGUAGGAUAUCUACUGUUUGUGUGGAAGUAUGUGCGUAAGUAAGGAGCAAGGUAUAAAAAUGGAUGUCUUUGUAUUAUGGACUUCAGAACGUUCUCAUGAAUAAACUGUA
Molecule: long non-coding RNA, 4251 nt
Organism: Oncorhynchus nerka (sockeye salmon)
Lineage: Eukaryota; Metazoa; Chordata; Actinopteri; Salmoniformes; Salmonidae
Exons: 3
Source: RefSeq, a predicted model, not a curated record